AGUGGCGAACGGGUGAGUAACACGUGAGCAACCUGCCCCGAAGACUGGGAUAACAGUGGGAAACCGCUGCUAAUACCGGAUACCCCCACCUGGGUCACAUGGCCUGGUGAGGAAAUGGAUUCCGCUUCGGGAGGGGCUCGCGGCCAUCAGCUUGUUGGUGGGGUAACGGCCUACCAAGGCUUCGACGGGUAGCUGGUCUGUGAGGACGAUCAGCCACACUAGGACUGAGACACGGCCCAGACUCCUACGGGAGGCAGCAGUAGGGAAUCUUGCGCAAUGGGCGAAAGCCUGACGCAGCAACGCCGCGUGAGGGAUGGAGGCCUUCGGGUUGUAAACCUCUUUCAGCAGGGACGAUUGUGACGGUACCUGCAGAAGAAGCCCCGGCCAACUACGUGCCGGCAGCCGCGGUAAUACGUAGGGGGCGAGCGUUGUCCGGAAUCAUUGGGCGUAAAGAGCUCGUAGGCGGUUUGGUAAGUCGGGUGUGAAACCUCCAGGCUCAACCUGGAGAUGCCACUCGA
Molecule: ribosomal RNA, 518 nt
Filed under: uncultured bacterium
Lineage: Bacteria
Description: bacterial SSU rRNA
Rfam family: Bacterial small subunit ribosomal RNA
Source: RNAcentral